AAGUCGUAACAAGGUUUCCGUAGGUGAACCUGCGGAAGGAUCAUUAACACAAUUUUACUGUGAUAAAAUCCGUUGAAUUCGCAACUCGAAUUCAAUGGUAUCCACCCCAUUAUUGACGAACUUUUCUUAGAUGUUUUAAAAAAAACAUAGAGCUUUAAAUCUUUACGUUUUUUGAGAACAUUCUAAAAACCUUUUUCUUUACCCUAUAACAUUUUCAACCCCUUUUACAACAUGUCUUAGACUGAAAUGAAAAUUUUUCUAUCAAAAAAUUGAUAAAAACAACUUUUAACAACGGAUAUCUUGGCUCUC
This 309-nucleotide unclassified non-coding RNA is filed under the name fungal sp. Its description in RNAcentral is "partial internal transcribed spacer region". The stretch from base 1 to 46 matches the Rfam family "Eukaryotic small subunit ribosomal RNA", at positions 1786 to 1831 of the family's 1831-position model. Lineage: Eukaryota; Fungi. The record is from RNAcentral.